CAGGGGGUAGUUUAUAUAAAAUAUUAAUUUUGGAGAUUAAUGAAAAAGAAUAUCUUUUCUCUUGA
Molecule: transfer RNA, 65 nt
Filed under: Microphor holosericeus
Lineage: Eukaryota; Metazoa; Arthropoda; Insecta; Diptera; Empididae
Description: tRNA-Pro
Source: RNAcentral